RNAcentral lists this unclassified non-coding RNA (1469 nucleotides) under Hevea brasiliensis (rubber tree). The record is from RNAcentral. Lineage: Eukaryota; Viridiplantae; Streptophyta; Magnoliopsida; Malpighiales; Euphorbiaceae.
AAUCAAAUGGGGCUUAUAAAAUUGUUCUGUACACUUCGGCCACUCAGAGCCACCAAUCAGGACUAUUGAAUCGCCUAAACUCAAGACUGCUAUAUACAGUUCCUCUGACUGUUUCCUACUCAUUUACAAUCACCAAAAUUUAUCACCCAUUACUAAAAAGAUUAAUGGAAUCUCAUUGUGACCAAAAAAUGAAUUUAAAAAAAUAUAUAUAUCUUCUAAAUUGCUUGCUGGUUUUGAAUUCAAUUCUGUGCUCUUUCUCCAGCUCUGCCUUCUCACCUUACAGUGACCCAACUCUCAGACAAGGACCAAUUGCAACUCUGAUUACUCACCAGCUGCUGGAGUCUCUCUGCUGGUGAAGGUGAAUAUGACAAAGAGGACCAAUCAAAUCUUGACUCCACUUCCUUAUUAGACCAUAAUUCAGAUUUUGGCGAUGAGGAUGGAACGGAAACCCACUCUGGGAACUCAAAAGGACAUCUUGGUGAUGAUGAUGGUGGAGAUAAUUGUUCCUUCAAUGUAACAGUGCUUUCAUUAGCAACAAAAGGGUGAUCCAAUAGCAUAUCAGCAGUCCAUCUCGUUCUAGGAUCCUUAACGAAGCACUUGGAUAGAAAAUCCUUCCCUUCUUUGGACAAUUCUUGAGGGAUUUCUGGCAAUUCAUCGCUUACACCAAUUCGAAUCAACAAGGCUGCUACGUUGGUUUCUGGUUUGCAAUUCCAUGCCGGUUUUCCAGUCACCAUCUCAACCAACGCACACCCAAGAGCCCAAAUAUCACACGGUGAAUCGUACUCGUUUUCGUUGACUGAUUCCGGCGACAGGUAUAGAGGAGUUCCUCGAAAUUCCAUUCUCCCUUGCUCCCCACUCAGCUUUUGCCCUGUUUUCUUGGCCAAUCCAAAGUCUGCAAUCUUCGCUUCCCCAUUCUCAAACAACAAAAUAUUCUGAAGCUUUAUGUCGCAGUGAGCAAACCCUUUAGCGUGAAUAUAACGAAGACCCUUUAGUAUCGAUCUCGUGUAGCGUCUGGCAUCCGAUUCCGGCAAGAAACCACCGGACUUCUUUACCCAAUGAUAUAAACUACCACGAGGGGCAUACUCCAACAGCAAGUUAUACAACCUCUGCCCGUUUUCAAUACUCUGAUCGCCGCCAAAACACUUGAUGAUAUUCUCGCAAUUCCCUAGUUGAGUCAAGACAUCCUUCUCAUUCUCAAGCAAAGAAGAGUCAAAAAGAUCACAAGAUUUCACAGCCAUUAAAGGAGCAGAAACUUUCGUGGGAAUUGCCAAAUUAACAGUAGAAAAGCUACCACAACCAAUGAAAUCCCCGCGAAACCAAUCCAUGGGAACAAGAAUCACGAGCCAAAAAGAUUAGAAUAGAAAGGAAUAUCUAUCAGAUGAUCAAAAGACAGCUUAGAAACAGAGGAGUUGAGAGUUAUUCUUCUUCUUGUUGGGCUUGGGUUUGUUUCUUCGAAGGAAAGAAAGAGA